UUCUAAUCCAAAAUUCUAAUC
Non-coding RNA from Caenorhabditis elegans, 21 nucleotides. The record is from Ensembl. Lineage: Eukaryota; Metazoa; Nematoda; Chromadorea; Rhabditida; Rhabditidae.